Molecule: long non-coding RNA, 1049 nt
Filed under: Fukomys damarensis (Damara mole-rat)
Lineage: Eukaryota; Metazoa; Chordata; Mammalia; Rodentia; Bathyergidae
Description: lncRNA (ENSFDAG00000029996.1)
Source: RNAcentral
CUGUUCUUAACUGCGCAUGCUAACAGAGCUGGACAAGUCAGACCACAUGCUUCUGGUAGGGCUGCAAGUCCAUGCUCCGAGACGUGUGACUCAUAUCUCGCAUGACCCACUCUUGGGAGGGUGGUGGGGCUCCUGCAGUUCCAGUGAUUAGCUGAGAGCUAAGCAUGUGACCAAACUGAUCCAAUCAGAAUCAAUCCAGAGACUUGUUUGUAGCUCUCGUAAGUAUUCGUUCUCCACCAGACUUAUGAAACUGAAAUCCUUGGCAGUCCAGUUGCCUACUUUAUCAUAGAGUGAGAGGAAUGAACUUGCUAGAUGAAAACUACAGAACCUAAGACAGCUGUUUUGAAAGAAUUGGAUUUGAAGCCUGCCGAGCAUUUCCGUGAGUGGUCUGCUGGUCUUCACGUGGAGCGAAACUGCAAGAGGAAAGUGGGAAGAGGCCCGACCACAGCCCUGUGGUGAGCUCAGAGGCCCUGUCUCGGGUGCACCAGCUGUUCUGAUCUGCUUUCCUGUCCAACGAGGGCAGGAGAACCGGACUGCCCUGCAUCCAGGGGAACCCAAUCAGGUGGCUCCCUGAUGAUAGCUGUCCCUUUGGUCCCAUCUGUUUACCAGCUUGUAGAAAUUGUUCAUAUUCUAUACCUAGGGUUGGAUGUGUGUCUUAGUUUGGAAGACUUUUUAAUCUUUCUGUUCUAUCACUGAUCAUUUAAUGAAAAGCAGGAAGAGGCUGCUAGACUGAAAAGCUAUAAUUAAUUUGACUUUUAUGGUGGGAAAAUCCCAUUAAAUGACUUCUUUCCUGAUAUUAACACCUAUGCAGUAAUACAGUGUUCAGCAGCAUUAGGAGUUAAGGCUCUGGACAAGGUUUGAAUUUUGAAUUCAUUUCCUUCUGGAUCUGUUGCCUGACCUUGGCACGGCUCAUUAAUAGUAUCCUUGAGAUCAUGCUAGAAAAGCAUAAACAACUUCAAGUUCUUUUUGUUCUGACUCCAUCUGUAUAUAGUGCCUAAAUACUCAGAAAAAACCAAAACAAAUAAUUAAAAAUUCUUUGGAAACCGUCC